UUCUGCAUAUGCAGUAAAAAAAAGGAAGGAAAACCACUCCGAUCCACUAAACACACUUAAAGAAUAACUUUGGCUCAGAUACCAUCCAAAACCAAGAAUGUUACAUCAGUGACAGAGGGAUGGGAUGGAAAGAUAGCAGCAAUUGGAAACACUUUUCAUCUCUACCUUCUCUGAGGAAGGUGUCAGGUGUUGCCAUCUUGCAGAACCAGGAAGCUAUAAAAAAGUUGGGUAACAAAUCAAGCAUAUCAUCAUGUGUUAAGGAAGUACAAGUAGCAAGGGAAUGUAUUUGAUAUUGAUUUAGUGAGGGGACAGGUUGGGCUGCUACACCCCUUUAGAGUCUCUGUCUAUAAAUUCUGGUUCCUGCUUUUACCAGGAGCUCCAAGAUGGCUACUACCAUGAUCUUGUCUUGGAUGGUAAUGAUGGGUCUUCAUAUGCAGCUGGAUGCAGCAUCAAUACGUCCAACAACAGAUACAACUGUUCCAACAACAGUCCAGCCCAUUGGAAAGCUGGAGCUGAGUCUGACCGACGGGCCCGACCGCUGUGCAGGCAAUGUGGAAAUCGACUAUUUUGGAAUGAGCGCAAAAGUGUGUGGCUUCCAGUGGGACAUGAACGAUGCUCAGGUUGUGUGCAGGCAGCUUGGCUGCGGCUCACCUGUCAGCGUGAUGGAGUAUUUCUCCUCGAGCGAUUCAUAUCCAUGGUACCAGAGGACCGCGGUGGCUUGUGACGGCUCUGAAACCUCUUUGCUGUUUUGCCCUUCUGACUACGUGUCCUCCGAAUGCCAACACGGGACUGCUUCUGUCAUCUGCUCAGAUUCGGGAUUCCGAGUGCAAAAUGGUAAGCAGAGAUUUCUCUUUGUAUCCAUGUUAUUGGGGGGGUGCUCUGUGUCCAUCAAAGCAAAAGACUCAGGUGUGGGCUGCAGUUAA
Molecule: long non-coding RNA, 923 nt
Filed under: Anas platyrhynchos platyrhynchos (common mallard)
Lineage: Eukaryota; Metazoa; Chordata; Aves; Anseriformes; Anatidae
Description: lncRNA (ENSAPLG00000014685.2)
Source: RNAcentral